AUUGAAACCCAACAUCAAAUGUCUAACCAGAUUUUUCUAGUAUUUCUUCUUCAAAUUUUUAUAUUAAAAAUUAGAUCUAAUCUAUUUUUUAUCUUAAAAAAAGUAGAAACAAAAUUUGAAAGAAGAACUCCUUUGUCUUCAAGGCUGUGCACAAGAAAAAAAGAUCCUUCUUCUUCCUUGAUCUUUCUCUCUUUGAGAAGAAUUUUUCUUCUCCAAUUUUCUACUAUAAAAC
This 232-nucleotide long non-coding RNA is filed under the name Elaeis guineensis (African oil palm). RNAcentral's name for it is "long non-coding RNA (EGUI_LNC043688)". The record is from RNAcentral. Lineage: Eukaryota; Viridiplantae; Streptophyta; Magnoliopsida; Arecales; Arecaceae.